AGUGAACGCUGGCGGUAGGCCUAACACAUGCAAGUCGAACGGCAGCACAGUAAGAGCUUGCUCUUACGGGUGGCGAGUGGCGGACGGGUGAGGAAUACAUCGGAAUCUACUUUUUCGUGGGGGAUAACGUAGGAAAACUUACGCUAAUACCACAUACGACCUACGGGUGAAAGCAGGGGAUCUUCGGACCUUGCGCGAUUGAAUGAGCCGAUGUCGGAUUAGCUAGUUGGCGGGGUAAAGGCCCACCAAGGCGACGAUCCGUAGCUGGUCUGAGAGGAUGAUCAGCCACACUGGAACUGAGACACGGUCCAGACUCCUACGGGAGGCAGCAGUGGGGAAUAUUGGACAAUGGGCGCAAGCCUGAUCCAGCCAUACCGCGUGGGUGAAGAAGGCCUUCGGGUUGUAAAGCCCUUUUGUUGGGAAAGAAAAGCAGCAGGUUAAUACCCCGCUGUUCUGACGGUACCCAAAGAAUAAGCACCGGCUAACUUCGUG
Molecule: ribosomal RNA, 492 nt
Filed under: uncultured bacterium
Lineage: Bacteria
Description: partial 16S ribosomal RNA
Rfam family: Bacterial small subunit ribosomal RNA
Source: RNAcentral